Molecule: transfer RNA, 72 nt
Filed under: Hime japonica
Lineage: Eukaryota; Metazoa; Chordata; Actinopteri; Aulopiformes; Aulopidae
Description: tRNA-Trp
Rfam family: tRNA
About the family: Transfer RNA (tRNA) molecules are approximately 80 nucleotides in length. Their secondary structure includes four short double-helical elements and three loops (D, anti-codon, and T loops).
Source: RNAcentral
AGAAAUUUAGGAUAAUAACCAAACCAAGAGCCUUCAAAGCCCUAAAUGAGAGUGAAAAUCUCUCAAUUUCUG